UACAGAGGGUGCAAGCGUUGUUCGGAAUCAUUGGGCGUAAAGGGCGUGUAGGCGGUUUGCUAAGUCAUGUGUGAAAGCCCUCGGCUUAACCGAGGAACGACGCAUGAAACUGGCAAGCUAGAGUACCAAAGAGGGGGGUGGAAUUCCCGGUGUAGAGGUGAAAUUCGUAGAUAUCGGGAGGAACACCAGUGGCGAAGGCGGCGACCUGGUCCGAUACUGACGCUGAGGCACGAAAGCGUGGGGAGCAAACAGG
Molecule: ribosomal RNA, 253 nt
Filed under: uncultured bacterium
Lineage: Bacteria
Description: partial 16S ribosomal RNA
Rfam family: Bacterial small subunit ribosomal RNA
Source: RNAcentral